UACAGAGACUGCAAGCGUUAUUCGGAUUCACUGGGCGUAAAGGGUGCGCAGGCGGCCGUGUGUGUGAGGCGUGAAAGCCCGGGGCUUAACCCCGGAAUUGCACCUCAAACUACAUGGCUAGAGCAUUGGAGAGGGUAGCAGAAUUCAUGGUGUAGCAGUGAAAUGCGUAGAUAUCAUGAGGAAGACCAGAGGCGAAGGCGGCUACCUGGACAAUUGCUGACGCUCAGGCACGAAAGCGUGGGGAGCAAAAGGG
RNAcentral lists this ribosomal RNA (253 nucleotides) under uncultured bacterium. RNAcentral's name for it is "partial 16S ribosomal RNA". It matches the Rfam family "Bacterial small subunit ribosomal RNA", at positions 524 to 776 of the family's 1533-position model. The record is from RNAcentral.